RNAcentral lists this unclassified non-coding RNA (609 nucleotides) under Sedum alpestre. Its description in RNAcentral is "sequence contains ITS1, 5.8S rRNA gene and ITS2". The stretch from base 234 to 389 matches the Rfam family "5.8S ribosomal RNA". The record is from RNAcentral. Lineage: Eukaryota; Viridiplantae; Streptophyta; Magnoliopsida; Saxifragales; Crassulaceae.
UCGAAGCCUAGAAAGCACGACCGCGAAUGAGUUUGCAAUCGGGGAAGCGUCGAGAGGCCCUCGGGCAGCGCGGCGCAACCUCGCUCGGCUGGCGAGGAGACUUGUGCUGCUCGUCUUCCGAAACUAACGAACCCCGGCGCGGACAGCGCCAAGGAAUCAUAACGAAAAGAACGCGACCCUCCGACCCGUCGAUCGGGCUGUGAGGGCCUUGUCUGUUCAGAAAAUAUCAUAACGACUCUCGGCAACGGAUAUCUCGGCUCUCGCAUCGAUGAAGAACGUAGCAAAAUGCGAUACUUGGUGUGAAUUGCAGAAUCCCGUGAAUCAUCGAGUCUUUGAACGCAAGUUGCGCCCGAAGCCUUUAGGCCGAGGGCACGUCUGCCUGGGCGUCAUGCACUGCGAUGCCCCCCAUACAAGUAUGAGGGGCGAAUCAUGGCCUCCCGUUAGCCCCAACUCGCGGAUGGCUUAAAAAAGAGCCUCGAGACGGAAAGACGUCGCGACAAGUGGUGGUUAAGAGGCCCUAGGCCUUAGAACUUAGCGUGUCGCGAACUCUCCCCUCUUUGGCUCGAAAAAGACCUUAGCGGAGUGCGUUAAUAGCGCGCUGCCAGCAUC